Molecule: unclassified non-coding RNA, 223 nt
Filed under: uncultured Amaurodon
Lineage: Eukaryota; Fungi; Basidiomycota; Agaricomycetes; Thelephorales; Thelephoraceae
Description: sequence contains ITS2
Source: RNAcentral
AAUUCUCAACUGCCUCCGGGUUUGCGCCCGGCGGUGAAGUUGGACUUGGAGGCUUUUCGCCGGUGGCUCUAGUCAGCCGUCUGGCCCCUCCGAAAUGCAUGAGCCACUUCCGAUCGGCAGUACAGCGGCCCCGACGUGAUAAUUAUCUGCGCCGGAACGGUCCCUCUGUCUCGGUGGGCUUUACAACGAGAAGCCCGGGUUUUUCGGAACCCGGCCUUGACCA